ACUGUUGCUAUAGAAACAUUUGCAACAUGUCUAGGAAUAAAUUUAAAUUGACAAUUUCGAUAUACGUGUAUCAUGAUGACAAUUUACACACAAUAUACGAAACAUUUUAAAGGUCCAAAGUGGGAUAGCUUUGCCAUAAACGAGUACAAUCGAAAGCUAGCUUAUCGAAUUGGUAGGCGAAGUGUUGAGCAACGGCACGAGUCGUUUGUAUGGGAUACUUCGGAAGACAAUGCUAGAGUAAGUAGCGUUCUCGAAUUUGGCAACAAUAACCUAGAAAACAAGUCCACAACUCAAAGAAAAAAAAGGGGUGUGAACAGAAAUAAAAAUCUGCCGAAACCAGUUGUAAAUAAAAAUAAACUGCGUACAAGACGUGCCUCCAAGAUAGGUCAUACUGGCUUAGAAAUAAACAAGAAUGUUGAGAAGGUUGAGAGUGGCAAGAAAUCUGUUGGCCAAAAUAAUAAUGAUUUUGGACAACAAAAAGAGCAAUCUUGUAGAAGGAAAGCAAAGAAUGGUUUUUCAUGGAAUCAAUCAAAGACGAAGGAUGGAAAAAAGCCAUUUACUUGCCGUUGUUCGGCAAAAAAUUCGUCCUCGGAUAGACAAUUUACGAAUGAAAGACCAAGUGUCAAAACUGAUGCGAAAGAUGUUUAUCCUGCUUCCCUUCGAGCAAUGAAACGACAGCAGCUUGACAUUGCCAGGAGAUUGAAACAAAAUAAGAAAAGCAUGAAACAAAAACAGGAACUUUCAAAAAAAAAAUACUUGGUAAAGUUCUCCCCUGUAUUCAUGACUGAGUACCAAAGAAGUUACUGUAGCAUGGAUCAAUUUUGACCACGCCAAGGAAACUGCUCACUUUCAAUGUUGUGGCAAGAUUUAAAGUGUUUGUAAUAUGUCUCUUUUAACUGUCUGCUGAUAUCAUUCACUUUAGUACCUACAUAACUAGAUUCAUAGGUCAAAGAGUGAGAAUAAUUACUGCUGAAUGCAAAAUUUGAGCUUCAGUUGAUUUCAAAAAUAGCAAUGAAAACUAGAAAAACUAGAACACUAAAAUAACGAAAAACUAGGUACACAACGCGUACAUGUGGGUAGCCUGCUAAUAAAAUAAAGUUAAUGAAUCAUAAAUGAACAUAGUUUCAAUAAUAUUACAUAUUUAAUAGAAAUACACAAACACAAGUAGAAGCACAUGAACACAAAUAAAAGUACACGAACACAAAUAGAAGUACACGAACACAAAUAGAAGUACACAAAUACAAAUAGAAGUA
Molecule: RNA transcript, 1253 nt
Organism: Xenia sp. Carnegie-2017
Lineage: Eukaryota; Metazoa; Cnidaria; Anthozoa; Malacalcyonacea; Xeniidae
Exons: 3
Source: RefSeq, a predicted model, not a curated record